AAGAUGAGAAAACAAGCCUGAAAAAGAGAAACCUACGACACCCGGAAAUCGGCCUACACCCCCAUAAAUCCCUUAGCGCUUAAGUACCACAAUUCCCCCGUUACCAUUAGAAAAGCAAAUUAACGUUACCAUACUGAAGUUACAAAAACCACGUUAGCCCAUCUCUGGUAUUUUUACCACACCACUCGUCCUCCCUGGGGCCUCGCACACUGGGAUGCUGCUCUAGGAUCCUCUAUCUAUCCUCCACAGCGCCUGUUCGCCGCCUCCGCGUGGUCGCCAAGCCAAGCUGCCAAGCUGCCAAGCUGCUCGCUAGCUUCAUCACCACAUCGCACUGGCUCCUCCUUUCUGGAAUCCUCUCCUAGCUUCACCUCCAAAUCGUUAGGGCUCCUUCUUUCUUCCUAGCUUCCUUCCUUCACCAAACAGCACUGGCUCCCGGACUUCGCCUUCCUUCCUAUCUUCACCACGAACUGCAGCUCGCUCCUCAGUCCUAGCUUCACCGACACUGGCUCCUGGAAUCCUGUCUGCCGCUCCUGUCUUCCUAGAUUCACUGAAUCCACUUCUGCGUAGUACCUGGGUCUGCUGCCAAUUAACGCUAGUCCUCAGGAUUUAAAAAAC
This 615-nucleotide long non-coding RNA is filed under the name Canis lupus familiaris (dog). Its description in RNAcentral is "partial metastasis associated lung adenocarcinoma transcript 1". Lineage: Eukaryota; Metazoa; Chordata; Mammalia; Carnivora; Canidae. The record is from RNAcentral.